GACGAACGCUGGCGGCGUGCCUAAUACAUGCAAGUUGAGCGAUGAAGAUUGGUGCUUGCACCAAUUUGAAGAGCAGCGAACGGGUGAGUAACGCGUGGGGAAUCUGCCUUUGGGCGGGGGACAACAUUUGGAAACGAAUGCUAAUACCGCAUAACAACUUUAAAUAUAAGUUUUAAGUUUGAAAGAUGCAAUUGCAUCACUCAAAGAUGAUCCCGCGUUGUAUUAGCUAGUUGGUGAGGUAAAGGCUCACCAAGGCGAUGAUACAUAGCCGACCUGAGAGGGUGAUCGGCCACAUUGGGACUGAGACACGGCCCAAACUCCUACGGGAGGCAGCAGUAGGGAAUCUUCGGCAAUGGACGAAAGUCUGACCGAGCAACGCCGCGUGAGUGAAGAAGGUUUUCGGAUCGUAAAACUCUGUUGGUAGAGAAGAACGUUGGUGAGAGUGGAAAGCUCAUCAAGUGACGGUAACUACCCAGAAAGGGACGGCUAACUACGUG
Molecule: ribosomal RNA, 497 nt
Filed under: uncultured bacterium
Lineage: Bacteria
Description: partial 16S ribosomal RNA
Rfam family: Bacterial small subunit ribosomal RNA
Source: RNAcentral